GUACAAAGACAAUUUGAAUUGGGUUCUUAGGUGCUCUGGUAAUGGAAUUCCUAUUUCUCGAAGUGAGUUCAGUCUUUCUUGUAAACACCAUAUAAAACAAGAAAAUUACGAUAGUUUGUAACUUAAACAACCCCUUCAUAAUACUACAAAAUCAAAUAAGUUUAUAAGUCAAGUUAAAAACAAAGGAAAAGACUGAUAUAAAACUAUUGAACCAAAAAGCUAUAACAAUAUAUAA
This 235-nucleotide long non-coding RNA is filed under the name Helianthus annuus (common sunflower). Its description in RNAcentral is "hypothetical non coding rna". Lineage: Eukaryota; Viridiplantae; Streptophyta; Magnoliopsida; Asterales; Asteraceae. The record is from RNAcentral.